Molecule: long non-coding RNA, 1748 nt
Organism: Gossypium raimondii (Peruvian cotton)
Lineage: Eukaryota; Viridiplantae; Streptophyta; Magnoliopsida; Malvales; Malvaceae
Exons: 2
Source: RefSeq, a predicted model, not a curated record
CUAAGAAAUUGCUUUCAAACAGCUUGGACCGACCACACAUUUUACAUUUACUUCAUAUAUUGAAUUACUCCUCUAAGACUAUUCUUCUUAUAGUUUCAUGGUGAGUGACGGCAUCCUCAACAACACAUGGCAGACACGUUGGGCAGUAGACGGCACUUGGUGUUUUGGGUUUACGAGUUCCAACACGCCAGAGACAACAUGCAAUGAAUCUGGUGCAAGAUUCAGCGUCUUAGCUUGAUUCAUGCCAAAAUAUUCACUUGGGACAAUUACUAGUCUAAGAUCAACCAAUUAUUUGAAACAAGGCUGCAGAGCUUAUAGAGAGCACCAGCAACCCUUCGGUUUUACCACAUGCUUAUGCUACUUUGUUUUCUUACUCAAAUAUUCUAACUAAUGCGCAUUUUCAUAGCCUAUCUCCAAAUCCUAUUCGUCUAUGAUCAUAAACUUAAAUUAUCACCACUACAAAUGUCAAAAUUGUUGACCCCAAUGGACACUUUUCAGGAGGUUUUCUAUUAGAUUUAGAUUUAGAAUGUUUGGAUACCCCAAUGGACAAUUAAGGUAUGUUAUCCAUAUUGCAAUACAUAAAUAGCAACAAACAUUUUUCCUCAUUAAUUAGUGUAAAUACUAUUAAGGCCCCGUUUUUUAUUGCGUUUUAAAUGGACUUUUGCGUUAAAAAGUCCUUUUCUCUUAAAAGGAGAGAAGAACGGCCUCCAUCUUCUCAAAAAAUUCUCCAUCUCAAACGUCAUUUUCUCCUGAUGGAGAAGCUGAAAAUUUCACCAUCUAAAAAGCUUGAAGUGCUUUUGGCUGAUAAAUGACCAAAAUAACCUGUCUUCUCCCCCUUGGAAAAACGUUAUUUCCUCUGCUGUGAAAGUUCUAUACCCAUAUUUUUCACAUUUUCGCUGUGAAAGCUCCUUCCUGUUCUUUGUUCCUCUUCCGCAGGUGAGUUCGUUUUCUUCUUCUUCUCUUUAAUUAUUAGUUAUGCUUUGUUUUUAUUUACUUUUUAAUUCUGGCUUUUGUGCCUCUUUUACUUUACUGUUUUGUGCCUCUACUGCUGCGUUGCUCUGCCUCUUUUGUUUUGUGCCUCUUUCUGAAAAGAAAAAUGCCAGGGCUGGGUUACUGAAGAACUCUCAACCUCUGAAAAAAAAACAGAGAAGAUUUUAUACUUAGAAAAACGAAACGCGAUGCAGUGGAAUUUCUCUUCGGAUUCGGUUAAAUUUCAGUUUCCCUGUUGAUACUUAAUUUCUUUUCUGUAUAUUUCCUUUUUGUUUCGUGACAAUGUCCGGCAAAACGGCAUCGUCUUCCGGAAUCAUCUUGGAAGGAAUUGAUGAUGUGGAGGACUACGUUUCGGCGAAGCCCGAUAUCAAUUGCAGCUGCUGUUAUUUAUAUCAUAACACAGCUGUCUGAUGACAAGAAGCCUCUUAGAGGUUUGAUAUUUCGAUAUCUAAUUGGAAACCGAAGAGUGUGUUAAGAACUCCAACACUUUGAUUAAAGAUGGUGCUAAAAGAGGGCUCUUCGAGUUACCCCCGGAUCAUCAUAAGGAAUUAGAAACCGAGUUAAAGAAGAUGGCGCCUGUUUCUGCUGUUAUUUAAGUAACAUUUUCAUUAUGUUACCAUAAAAGAAAGGGGUAGUAUAUGUUGCCUCUCUAAUAGGUCUAUUUAUAUCCACUAAUUGGUAUCUAUUUUAUUUUUUUGAUUUAGAACUUUGCAUUUCCUUUGGAUGCUCAACACAUAUAUUCUUUUUUGCGUUCUUCA